GACGAACGCUGGCGGCGUGCUUAACGCAUGCAAGUCGAACGGAAAGGCCCUGCUUUUGUGGGGUGCUCGAGUGACGAACGGGUGAGUAACACGUGAGUAACCUGCCCUUGACUUUGGGAUAACUUCAGGAAACUGGGGCUAAUACCGGAUAGGAGCUCCUGCUGCAUGGUGGGGGUUGGAAAGUUUCGGCGGUUGGGGAUGGACUCGCGGCUUAUCAGCUUGUUGGUGGGGUAGUGGCUUACCAAGGCUUUGACGGGUAGCCGGCCUGAGAGGGUGACCGGCCACAUUGGGACUGAGAUACGGCCCAGACUCCUACGGGAGGCAGCAGUGGGGAAUAUUGCACAAUGGGCGGAAGCCUGAUGCAGCAACGCCGCGUGCGGGAUGACGGCCUUCGGGUUGUAAACCGCUUUCGCCUGUGACGAAGCGUGAGUGACGGUAAUGGGUAAAGAAGCACCGGCUAACUACGUG
RNAcentral lists this ribosomal RNA (468 nucleotides) under uncultured bacterium. RNAcentral describes it as "partial 16S ribosomal RNA". It matches the Rfam family "Bacterial small subunit ribosomal RNA", at positions 28 to 507 of the family's 1533-position model. The record is from RNAcentral.